UUUCCCUUUCCCUUUCCCUUUCAUUAAAAAAUAAACAUUAAAAACAUUAAUCGAGCUUUCCCUUUCGCUUUCACUUUCAUUUGCUGAAGAUCGAGCUUUCCCUUUCCCUUUCCCUUUCCCUUUCUUUUGCUAACGAUCGAGCUUUUCCUUCAAGUCACGCUUCCCUUUCCUUCUCCGAGCUGAAGAACUCACAAUUUCUCUUCUCUGAGCUGAACAUUGAACUGAAGAUUGAGCUGAAGAUCGAGCUGCAGAACUCACCGAGCUGACCGAGCUUUCUCUUCUCCGAGCUAAAGAUUUCGUCAAGGUAAGAGUUGAAGAUUUCAUCAAGCUUCAUAAUAUUGAAUGAAUUUUUGUUUUUUGUUUACAAGGAAUUGAUUGGGGUUGUUGGCAAGAUGAACUGAAGUUAAGUCUCUCUGUCACACUUUUCUCUCAGACUUCUCGUUGCGGAACUUGAUUUCAGACAGAUUUAGGGUUUAUCGGAAGUAUAAUCAACACUGAGAAACAUUUUUGGAGGAUUCAAGGUUUGAUUUGGCAUAGAACAAGAGUCAUGACUAGGAAUUCAAAUAUCCCAUCGAAAGAUUGGAUGAAUUUAGCAAGGUAUAGCGAACCAUAUAUGGAUGGUGUUGAAUCAUUCCUUGAUUUUGCUUACUCUUAUGGAAAUCCUCACGGAGAGGAAAUUCAGUGUCCAUGUGCGAAAUGUUGUAAUGUCCGUUGGACUCGAAGGAAUGUAGUGUAUGAUCAUCUAAUAUGCUAUGGAUUUGUUAAA
Molecule: long non-coding RNA, 766 nt
Organism: Solanum pennellii
Lineage: Eukaryota; Viridiplantae; Streptophyta; Magnoliopsida; Solanales; Solanaceae
Exons: 3
Source: RefSeq, a predicted model, not a curated record